CAGAGGGUAGUUUAAUUUAGAAUCUUAGCUUUGGGAGUUAAGGGUGGGAGUUAAAA
This 56-nucleotide transfer RNA is filed under the name Salvelinus malma malma. RNAcentral's name for it is "partial tRNA-Pro". RNAcentral also lists the same sequence under 3 other names. Lineage: Eukaryota; Metazoa; Chordata; Actinopteri; Salmoniformes; Salmonidae. The record is from RNAcentral.